CGGAGGGUGCAAGCGUUAUCCGGAUUUACUGGGUUUAAAGGGUGCGUAGGCGGGCCUUUAAGUCAGUGGUGAAAUCUCCCCGCUCAACGGGGAAACUGCCAUUGAUACUAUUGGUCUUGAAUUCAGUUGAGGUGGGCGGAAUGUGUCGUGUAGCGGUGAAAUGCUUAGAUAUGACACAGAACACCGAUUGCGAAGGCAGCUCGCUAAACUGAUAUUGACGCUGAGGCACGAAAAGCGUGGGGAUCAAACAGGAUUAGAUACCCUGGUAGUCCACGCCCUAAACGAUGAUUACUCGAUCUGUGCGAUACACUGUACGGGUCUAUGCAAAAGCAUUAAGUAAUCCACCUGGGGAGUACGACCGCAAGGUUG
RNAcentral lists this ribosomal RNA (369 nucleotides) under uncultured organism. RNAcentral describes it as "bacterial SSU rRNA". It matches the Rfam family "Bacterial small subunit ribosomal RNA", at positions 526 to 896 of the family's 1533-position model. The record is from RNAcentral.